CUGGGCUCCUCUAGAAAGUUUAUCAGAUUGCUCCUGAUAUUUAAAACAACAACAACAACAGCUGCAGCAAGAAAACACAGAUGGCCACUCACCACCUCGGGUCUUGCACUGACUUGGUGCUAGAACUCUUCAUGGGCAGAGCGUCUGAUUCAUGCCCACACAGCAAUGUAAUUUAAGCCACACAUUCAUGUCCAUGAAGCUCCCAUUGGCUAGACUCCUGGUCCUACCUCCAAGCUGCCAUGUAAGAAGUCCUUUUCACCUCCCGCCAUGAUUCUGAGACCUCCCCAGCCAUGUGGAACUGUAAGUCCAGUUAAACCUAUUUUUCUUCCCAGUCUCAGGUAUGUCUUUAUGAGCAGCGUGAAAACAGACUAAUACAAGUGGGAUGCUUUGUUUAUGACUGUGCUGAGUAAGAGGCCAGUUUUUAUCAUGGUAGUGUUUCAUCAGGGUUCUCCAGAGAAUUGGAGCAGGGUGUGUGUGUGUGUGUGUGUGUGUAUGUACACAGAGAGAGAUUUUUUAAGAAAUUGACACACACGACCAGGUGCAGCAGCGCAUACCUGUAAUCCCAGCAUUUUGGGAGGCC
RNAcentral lists this long non-coding RNA (580 nucleotides) under Homo sapiens (human). Its description in RNAcentral is "HSALNT0069012". Lineage: Eukaryota; Metazoa; Chordata; Mammalia; Primates; Hominidae. The record is from RNAcentral.